GACGAACGCUGGCGGCGUGCUUAACACAUGCAAGUCGAACGGAAAGGCCCUGCUUUUGUGGGGUGCUCGAGUGGCGAACGGGUGAGUAACACGUGAGUAACCUGCCCUUGACUUUGGGAUAACUUCAGGAAACUGGGGCUAAUACCGGAUAGGAGCUCCUGCUGCAUGGUGGGGGUUGGAAAGUUUCGGCGGUUGGGGAUGGACUAGGGGCUUAUCAGCUUGUUGGUGGGGUAGUGGCUUACCAAGGCUUUGACGGGUAGCCGGCCUGAGAGGGUGACCGGCCACAUUGGGACUGAGAGACGGCCCAGACUCCUACGGGAGGCAGCAGUGGGGAAUAUUGCACAAUGGGCGGAAGCCUGAUGCAGCAACGCCGCGUGCGGGAUGACGGCCUUCGGGUUGUAAACCGCUUUCGCCUGUGACGAAGCGUGAGUGACGGUAAUGGGUAAAGAAGCACCGGCUAACUACGUG
This 468-nucleotide ribosomal RNA is filed under the name uncultured bacterium. RNAcentral's name for it is "partial 16S ribosomal RNA". It matches the Rfam family "Bacterial small subunit ribosomal RNA", at positions 28 to 507 of the family's 1533-position model. The record is from RNAcentral.